Molecule: ribosomal RNA, 253 nt
Filed under: uncultured bacterium
Lineage: Bacteria
Description: partial 16S ribosomal RNA
Rfam family: Bacterial small subunit ribosomal RNA
Source: RNAcentral
UACGGGGGAUGCGAGCGUUAUCCGGAUUUAUUGGGUUUAAAGGGUGCGUAGGCGGCGCUUCAGGUCAGCGGUGAAAUACCGGGGCUCAACCCCGGGGCUGCCGUUGAAACCGGAGCGCUAGAGUUCCGAUGCCGUCGGAGGAAUGUGUGGUGUAGCGGUGAAAUGCGUAGAUAUUAGGAGGAACACCAGUGGCGAAGGCGGUCUGCUGGACAGCAACUGACGGUGAGGCGCGAAAGCGUGGGGAGCAAACAGG